ACCAAUGAGGCAGAGGCAAUAUCGUAACCAAUGAGGUUAAUCCGAGGUGCGAUUAUUGCUAGUUGAAAACUUUACCAAACAUAUAAUACCUAAAUAUUGUCUACAAUGUCGAGUUGUAUGUUUAGGAAGUGUAAAAACUAUUUAUACA
RNAcentral lists this small nuclear RNA (148 nucleotides) under Bicyclus anynana (squinting bush brown). RNAcentral's name for it is "U4 spliceosomal RNA". It matches the Rfam family "U4 spliceosomal RNA". From Rfam's summary of the family: U4 small nuclear RNA (U4 snRNA) is a component of the major U2-dependent spliceosome. The structure of U4 snRNA from yeast and human has been reported. U4 snRNA presents a k-turn RNA motif in the 5p-SL related to recognition of Snu13 protein. Lineage: Eukaryota; Metazoa; Arthropoda; Insecta; Lepidoptera; Nymphalidae. The record is from Rfam by way of RNAcentral.